AGCGAACGCUGGCGGCAUGCCUAACACAUGCAAGUCGCACGGGGGGGCUUCGGCCUCCCAGUGGCGGACGGGUGAGGAACGCGUAGGGACCUGUCGAGGGGUGGGGGAUAACCGCGGGAAACUGCGGCUAAUACCGCAUGACGCCGCGGCGUGACAGCCGGGGCCAAAGGCGAAAGCCGCACGCCGAGGGGCCUGCGUCCGAUUAGCUGGUUGGCGGGGUAGCGGCCCACCAAGGCGUCGAUCGGUAGCUGGUCUGAGAGGGUGAUCAGCCGCACCGGGACUGAGACACGGCCCGGACUCCUACGGGAGGCAGCAGUGGGGAAUAUUGGACAAUGGGCGCAAGCCUGAUCCAGCAAUGCCGCGUGGGUGAAGAAGGUCUUCGGAUUGUAAAGCCCUUUCGGCGGGGACGAUGGUGACGGUACCCGCAGAAGAAGCCCCGGCUAACUUCGUG
RNAcentral lists this ribosomal RNA (451 nucleotides) under uncultured bacterium. RNAcentral's name for it is "partial 16S ribosomal RNA". It matches the Rfam family "Bacterial small subunit ribosomal RNA", at positions 28 to 507 of the family's 1533-position model. The record is from RNAcentral.